GGCUAGGUAGCUCAGUUGGUCAGAGCGCCGCCCUCAUAAGGCGGAGGGCGAUGGUUCGAGUCCAUCCCUUGCCA
RNAcentral lists this transfer RNA (74 nucleotides) under Streptomyces canus. RNAcentral's name for it is "tRNA-Met". It matches the Rfam family "tRNA". Rfam says of the family: Transfer RNA (tRNA) molecules are approximately 80 nucleotides in length. Their secondary structure includes four short double-helical elements and three loops (D, anti-codon, and T loops). Further hydrogen bonds mediate the characteristic L-shaped molecular structure. tRNAs have two regions of fundamental functional importance: the anti-codon, which is responsible for specific mRNA codon recognition, and the 3' end, to which the tRNAs corresponding amino acid is attached (by aminoacyl-tRNA synthetases). tRNAs cope with the degeneracy of the genetic code in two manners: having more than one tRNA (with a specific anti-codon) for a particular amino acid; and 'wobble' base-pairing, i.e. permitting non-standard base-pairing at the 3rd anti-codon position. Lineage: Bacteria; Bacillati; Actinomycetota; Actinomycetes; Kitasatosporales; Streptomycetaceae. RNAcentral also lists the same sequence under 1 other name. The record is from RNAcentral.